AAGCUUGUCUCAGUUYGGAUAGGAGUCUGCAACUCGACUCCUUGAAGUUGGAGUCGCUAGUAAUCGCAAAUCAGCUAAGUUGCGGUGAAUACGUUCUCGGGGUUU
This 105-nucleotide ribosomal RNA is filed under the name uncultured bacterium. RNAcentral describes it as "partial 16S ribosomal RNA". It matches the Rfam family "Bacterial small subunit ribosomal RNA", at positions 1279 to 1382 of the family's 1533-position model. The record is from RNAcentral.